GCCUGGUUAGCUCAGCUGGUUAGAGCGUCGUACUAAUAUCUUCAUUGGAGAUAUCAAGUAAUGCGAAGGUCAACAGUUCAAUCCUGUUACUGGGCA
Non-coding RNA from Podospora aff. communis PSN243, 96 nucleotides. The record is from the annotation of a GenBank genome assembly. NCBI's taxonomy places the organism in Eukaryota, Fungi, Ascomycota, Sordariomycetes, Sordariales, Podosporaceae.